GAGGCCUACGGGGGGCAGCAGUGGGGAAUAUUGCACAAUGGGGGAAACCCUGAUGCAGCGACGCCGCGUGAGUGAAGAAGUAUUUCGGUAUGUAAAGCUCUAUCAGCAGGGAAGAAGGAGGACGGUACCUGAGUAAGAAGCCCCGGCUAACUACGUGCCAGCAGCCGCGGUAAUACGUAGGGGGCAAGCGUUAUCCGGAUUUACUGGGUGUAAAGGGAGCGUGGACGGCGAAGAAAGUCUGAAGUGAAAGCCCGCGGCUCA
This 261-nucleotide ribosomal RNA is filed under the name uncultured bacterium. RNAcentral describes it as "partial 16S ribosomal RNA". It matches the Rfam family "Bacterial small subunit ribosomal RNA", at positions 334 to 611 of the family's 1533-position model. The record is from RNAcentral.